RNA transcript from Ananas comosus (pineapple), 1100 nucleotides. RefSeq lists it as uncharacterized. The transcript has 3 exons. The record is from RefSeq and is a predicted model, not a curated record. Lineage: Eukaryota; Viridiplantae; Streptophyta; Magnoliopsida; Poales; Bromeliaceae.
CUAACAAACCAUUUGCUUCUAAUUAAUUAAUUACUUAAUUAAUACAUCCUAAAAGUCAACCGCACAAUCAUCCUAUACUCUCUAUUAUUGAAGCCCCCUUCUUUCUACCAUAAACAUAACAUAUAACCACCUACUGUUAUUGCAAUAUAUAUAUAUAUAUAUAUACUACUAGCUAGACUAGGGAAAAGAGCGGAAGAAAAUAACACCAAUUAAGUACUUUUUUCUCUUCUCCUCUCCCAUACCCUUAGCAAUUCCUCCCCCUUGUCUCAAAACACGCAACAUGAUUGAUUGUAUACUAUAUAGGUUUAGCAACACCUAAAAAUCAAUCAAAUAAGACCUUCCCAUAUACCCUCUAACCCUCCUCCUCCUUAGUUAUCAACUAACUGGUUAAUUAUGGCAAUUUAUACAUGUAGUUUCCCCCUGAUUCUGAUGAUCCCAAAAGGUCAGAAUUAUAAGAUCACGAGAUCUACUGCGAUUCGCACGAGACAUGUACAGGUUUUACGCGCUUUGGUUCCUCUCAAAAAAUUCAGCAUGGUGAGCAAGAUUUUUGAGGAUGGAGAGCAGGGGAUGGUGUGUUACAGAGACGAGGAAGGCGAAUUAAUCUGCGAAGGAUACGACGAAGGGCCGCGUUACGAGGAGCGAUCGCCCGAAGCAUACUGCAAAAGCUCACUUAAUUGCAGCUGAAAUUUAUGCAGCCGCAGCAGACAAGCUGAGGCGAAUUGUGACUCCGUCCGACUGGCGAGGCUUCAGAUAUUCGGAGAAGACGUCGACGUCUGCCGACUCGUGCGAAAGCAAGAAGAAAUGAUCUAAGAUCAGUAAGCUUUGAUGUCGGCAGCUCUACAUUACAUAUCAUCAGCAUCAAGCAAUAGACAGACUGAGUUAGUUAGUCUCAUCGAGACACACACUUUCUGUAAAUAGCCAACUAGUUAAAAAAGUUUUUAUCCAUCUAAUUUUUCUCCUCUUAAGCUGCAAAUAUUUUCAAUUCCUAUUUCCACUGCUCAGAAUUUGUACUCACUUUGUCUUUAUUUGGAUUUGGUUGUCAGAGUGGCCUAGAUAAUUUGUAAAUAAGAUUUUCAUGAAUUGGUAUUAAUUUUAAAAAA